This 394-nucleotide unclassified non-coding RNA is filed under the name soil metagenome. RNAcentral's name for it is "partial contains 5.8S ribosomal RNA, internal transcribed spacer 2, and large subunit ribosomal RNA". The stretch from base 1 to 121 matches the Rfam family "5.8S ribosomal RNA", at positions 35 to 154 of the family's 154-position model. The record is from RNAcentral.
GAUGAAGAACGUAGCGAACGUGCGAAACGUAAUGUGAAUUGCAGAAUUCAGUGAAUCAUCGAAUCUUUGAACGCAUCUUGCGCUCCUUGGUAUUCCGAGGAGCAUGCCUGUUUGAGUGUCGUGAAUACUCUCAACUUCAACCCUUUUUUCGGAAAGGGAGGAAGGUUGGACUUGGGUGUUUGUUGAAGUGCGAGCUUCGACUCAUCCUAAAUGCAUUAGCGAUCUGCCUCGAUCACACACAAUGUGAUAAUUAAAACUAAAGCAUUGUUUAAUGAUCAAGUCGAGACUGCUUCUAACUGUCGCAAGACAAUAACGUGCAUACAUUUGUGCAUGUCAUUUGACCUCAAAUCAGGUAGGACUACCCGCUGAACUUAAGCAUAUCAAUAAGCGGGGA